This 301-nucleotide ribosomal RNA is filed under the name uncultured bacterium. RNAcentral's name for it is "partial 16S ribosomal RNA". It matches the Rfam family "Bacterial small subunit ribosomal RNA", at positions 509 to 809 of the family's 1533-position model. The record is from RNAcentral.
CAGCCGCCGCGGUAAUACGAAGGGGGCUAGCGUUGUUCGGAAUUACUGGGCGUAAAGCGCACGUAGGCGGAUAUUUAAGUCAGGGGUGAAAUCCCGCAGCUCAACUGCGGGACUGCCUUUGAUACUGGGUAUCUUGAGUAUGGAAGAGGUUAGUGGAAUUGCGAGUGUAGAGGUGAAAUUCGUAGAUAUUCGCAGGAACACCAGUGGCGAAGGCGGCUAACUGGUCCAUAACUGACGCUGAGGUGCGAAAGCGUGGGGAGCAAACAGGAUUAGAUACCCGCGUAGUCCCUGUCUCUUAUAA